This 1522-nucleotide ribosomal RNA is filed under the name Escherichia coli. RNAcentral's name for it is "bacterial SSU rRNA". It matches the Rfam family "Bacterial small subunit ribosomal RNA". Lineage: Bacteria; Pseudomonadati; Pseudomonadota; Gammaproteobacteria; Enterobacterales; Enterobacteriaceae. The record is from RNAcentral.
AGAGUUUGAUCAUGGCUCAGAUUGAACGCUGGCGGCAGGCCUAACACAUGCAAGUCGAACGGUAACAGGAAGUAGCUUGCUUCUUUGCUGACGAGUGGCGGACGGGUGAGUAAUGUCUGGGAAACUGCCUGAUGGAGGGGGAUAACUACUGGAAACGGUAGCUAAUACCGCAUAAUGUCGCAAGACCAAAGAGGGGGACCUUCGGGCCUCUUGCCAUCGGAUGUGCCCAGAUGGGAUUAGCUUGUUGGUGGGGUAACGGCUCACCUAGGCGACGAUCCCUAGCUGGUCUGAGAGGAUGACCAGCCACACUGGAACUGAGACACGGUCCAGACUCCUACGGGAGGCAGCAGUGGGGAAUAUUGCACAAUGGGCGCAAGCCUGAUGCAGCCAUGCCGCGUGUAUGAAGAAGGCCUUCGGGUUGUAAAGUACUUUCAGCGGGGAGGAAGGGAGUAAAGUUAAUACCUUUGCUCAUUGACGUUACCCGCAGAAGAAGCACCGGCUAACUCCGUGCCAGCAGCCGCGGUAAUACGGAGGGUGCAAGCGUUAAUCGGAAUUACUGGGCGUAAAGCGCACGCAGGCGGUUUGUUAAGUCAGAUGUGAAAUCCCCGGGCUCAACCUGGGAACUGCAUCUGAUACUGGCAAGCUUGAGUCUCGUAGAGGGGGGUAGAAUUCCAGGUGUAGCGGUGAAAUGCGUAGAGAUCUGGAGGAAUACCGGUGGCGAAGGCGGCCCCCUGGACGAAGACUGACGCUCAGGUGCGAAAGCGUGGGGAGCAAACAGGAUUAGAUACCCUGGUAGUCCACGCCGUAAACGAUGUCGACUUGGAGGUUGUGCCCUUGAGGCGUGGCUUCCGGAGCUAACGCGUUAAGUCGACCGCCUGGGGAGUACGGCCGCAAGGUUAAAACUCAAAUGAAUUGACGGGGGCCCGCACAAGCGGUGGAGCAUGUGGUUUAAUUCGAUGCAACGCGAAGAACCUUACCUGGUCUUGACAUCCACGGAAGUUUUCAGAGAUGAGAAUGUGCCUUCGGGAACCGUGAGACAGGUGCUGCAUGGCUGUCGUCAGCUCGUGUUGUGAAAUGUUGGGUUAAGUCCCGCAACGAGCGCAACCCUUAUCCUUUGUUGCCAGCGGUCCGGCCGGGAACUCAAAGGAGACUGCCAGUGAUAAACUGGAGGAAGGUGGGGAUGACGUCAAGUCAUCAUGGCCCUUACGACCAGGGCUACACACGUGCUACAAUGGCGCAUACAAAGAGAAGCGACCUCGCGAGAGCAAGCGGACCUCAUAAAGUGCGUCGUAGUCCGGAUUGGAGUCUGCAACUCGACUCCAUGAAGUCGGAAUCGCUAGUAAUCGUGGAUCAGAAUGCCACGGUGAAUACGUUCCCGGGCCUUGUACACACCGCCCGUCACACCAUGGGAGUGGGUUGCAAAAGAAGUAGGUAGCUUAACCUUCGGGAGGGCGCUUACCACUUUGUGAUUCAUGACUGGGGUGAAGUCGUAACAAGGUAACCGUAGGGGAACCUGCGGUUG